This 315-nucleotide ribosomal RNA is filed under the name uncultured eukaryote. RNAcentral's name for it is "partial 18S ribosomal RNA". It matches the Rfam family "Eukaryotic small subunit ribosomal RNA", at positions 1470 to 1796 of the family's 1831-position model. The record is from RNAcentral.
CCCUUAGACGUUCUGGGCCGCACGCGCGCUACACUGACCAGUGCAACAAGCAUCCGUCCUUGGCCGACAGGCUCGGGCAAUCUUUGAACGCUGGUCGUGAUGGGGAUAGACUUUUGCAAUUUUUGGUCUUCAACGAGGAAUUCCUAGUAAACGCAAGUCAUCAACUUGCAUUGAUUACGUCCCUGCCCUUUGUACACACCGCCCGUCGCACCUCCCGAUUGAAUGGUCCGGUGAAGCCUCCGGAUUGGCGCGCACCUCGGUGCCGCCGAGAAGUUGGCUAAACCUUACCAUUUAGAGGAAGGUGAAGUCGUAACA